AGAUGAAUUGAUUGAGAUUAAUGGUAUUUUUCCAAUCAUACAUUUAACAUUUUCUUAUACUGAAAUGUGGUCCAAUUAACUGCUUGGUACAUUUAAGUUAAGUGAAAUUGUGACCUUGUACAUCACGAUUUCAGCUUUGUCACUACUCACCAUAAUUACCAGUCUUUUGCUGAAAGCACCUACUAAAGGGUUAAUAAAUUUUGUGGUCAAUGAGAUUAACAUUGCUAUUGAUCUUAGAUAAUUAAGUUUGCUUGUCUAUCGUUAGUAUUUUGCCUUUCUUUUUUUCUCAGCUGAGGAUAGAAUGUCCUCAUGACUUAUCAUAAAAAAAUGCAUGUGAAAAUAAGCUUUCAAAUAUAAAAUUGCAAUGUUAGCAGAUCAUGUUAAGAGAUGCUUGAUGAGUUUCAAUACAUUGCUAGCAAUUUCAGGCAGCUUAAGAUCUCUGAAAUAAAAGAUUUAUUCCCAAAAACUAAAAAGGACAGUGUGAAGGUCUCAUCCAUUAUUAGAAUUCAGAAAAGAAGUGGGAAUGAUGAAACGCCAGGUCACCAAGGGCUUCAAUGAUUUGUUGUACCUAUAAAGGCCAGCAUUUUUCUUGGGCUAAUAUGUCUUUACUAAAAAAGUAGUGCAUGUUAUUUCUGGUUUUCGAAAAGGAGAGAAACAAGAACG
Molecule: unclassified non-coding RNA, 663 nt
Filed under: Hevea brasiliensis (rubber tree)
Lineage: Eukaryota; Viridiplantae; Streptophyta; Magnoliopsida; Malpighiales; Euphorbiaceae
Source: RNAcentral